This 495-nucleotide ribosomal RNA is filed under the name uncultured bacterium. RNAcentral describes it as "bacterial SSU rRNA". It matches the Rfam family "Bacterial small subunit ribosomal RNA", at positions 8 to 525 of the family's 1533-position model. The record is from RNAcentral.
AGAGUUUGAUCCUGGCUCAGGAUGAACGCUGGCGGCGUGCCUAACACAUGCAAGUCGAGCGAUCUUCUUCGGAAGAGAGCGGCGGACGGGUGAGUAACGCGUGGGUAACCUGCCUCAUACACAUGGAUAACAUACCGAAAGGUAUGCUAAUACAAGAUGAUAUAAGAGAUUCGCAUGGAUUUCUUAUCAAAGCUUUUGCGGUAUGAGAUGGACCCGCGUCUGAUUAGCUAGUUGGUAAGGUAAUGGCUUACCAAGGCGACGAUCAGUAGCCGACCUGAGAGGGUGAUCGGCCACAUUGGAACUGAGACACGGUCCAGACUCCUACGGGAGGCAGCAGUGGGGAAUAUUGCACAAUGGGCGGAAGCCUGAUGCAGCAGCGCCGCGUGCGGGAUGACGGCCUUCGGGUUGUAAACCGCUUUCAGCAGGGACGAAGCGUGAGUGACGGUACCUGCAGAAGAAGCACCGGCUAACUACGUGCCAGCAGCCGCGGUAAUA